ACGUUUCGAAAGGAACGCUAAUACCGCAUACGUCCUACGGGAGAAAGCAGGGGACCUUCGGGCCUUGCGCUAUCAGAUGAGCCUAGGUCGGAUUAGCUAGUUGGUGAGGUAAUGGCUCACCAAGGCGACGAUCCGUAACUGGUCUGAGAGGAUGAUCAGUCACACUGGAACUGAGACACGGUCCAGACUCCUACGGGAGGCAGCAGUGGGGAAUAUUGGACAAUGGGCGAAAGCCUGAUCCAGCCAUGCCGCGUGUGUGAAGAAGGUCUUCGGAUUGUAAAGCACUUUAAGUUGGGAGGAAGGGCAGUAACUUAAUACGUUGCUGUUUUGACGUUACCGACAGAAUAAGCACCGGCUAACUCUGUGCCAGCAGCCGCGGUAAUACAGAGGGUGCAAGCGUUAAUCGGA
This 408-nucleotide ribosomal RNA is filed under the name Pseudomonas sp. RNAcentral's name for it is "bacterial SSU rRNA". It matches the Rfam family "Bacterial small subunit ribosomal RNA", at positions 146 to 549 of the family's 1533-position model. The record is from RNAcentral. Lineage: Bacteria; Pseudomonadati; Pseudomonadota; Gammaproteobacteria; Pseudomonadales; Pseudomonadaceae.